Long non-coding RNA from Etheostoma spectabile (orangethroat darter), 69 nucleotides. RefSeq lists it as uncharacterized. The record is from RefSeq and is a predicted model, not a curated record. The transcript is spliced from 3 exons. Lineage: Eukaryota; Metazoa; Chordata; Actinopteri; Perciformes; Percidae.
CUUCUGGGGCUCCAGCCUUGAAUGUUUUCUCAAAAGCCCAGAAUCUUUUAGGGUUUUAAAAUGACUUUG